This is a non-coding RNA of Phoenix dactylifera (date palm), 1942 nucleotides long. Lineage: Eukaryota; Viridiplantae; Streptophyta; Magnoliopsida; Arecales; Arecaceae. The record is from RefSeq and is a predicted model, not a curated record.
CAUGGAGGUUUCGCCUCUUCGGUAUCGAAUUGAAAAAGAAAGAGGGAAUGUCAUGGCUGGCGAGGUCUCUGGUGAGGUCGCUGAGCGCCAAUCAUGGCGAUGGCGACGGCGACGACGAGGAGCGGAGAAAGGAGAAGACCGAAUCGCCGUCUAAAGAAGCGGAAUCCGACGAGGACCGCCCCAUGGAGCCCGGAACCCCGACGAGGGGCGUCAAGGAGGACCUCUCCGAGCUCACCAAAACCCUAACCCGCCAAUUCUGGGGCGUCGCCUCCUUCCUCGCCCCGCCGCCGGAGUCCCAGAACCCCGACACUCCGAGUCCCCCUGAAACGGAUUUCUCCGCCUCUGAUCGCGGCUGGAGGUCCGAUUCCUCCGAUCCGGCGGCAUCCCUGUACGCCGAUGAGGCGGCGGCGGCGGCAGAGUCGCCGAGGAUCGCCGGAAUCCGGAGCGAUUUCGCGGAGAUCGGUGGGAAGUUCAAGAGCGGGAUCUCGAUGCUGUCGAAUACCAUGGCGGUGUCGGAGAUCUCCAAGAUUGCGUCUACUUUUCUGCCGUUUGGGGCUGAAGAGGAAGAGGAGGACGAGGAGGAGGAGGAAGAGAAUUUUGAGGCUGGAACGGUGGGGGUUACCAAGGAGGUCUUGGCGUUUGCGAGGAAUAUCUCGAUGCAUCCAGAGACAUGGUUGGAUUUCCCAUUGUUCCAUGAAGACGAAGAUUCCGACGAUUUUGAAAUGUCAAAUGCUCAACACGAGCAUGCAUUGGCCAUUGAACGCCUUGCACCCAGAUUAGCAGCUCUGAGGAUUGAACUUUGCCCGAGUCAUAUGAGUGAAGGGUGCUUUUGGAAAAUCUAUUUUGUACUUCUGCAUUCUAGACUCAAUAAGCUUGAUGCUGAACUUUUGUCAACACCUCAGAUUGUAGAAGCCAGAGCAAUGUUGUUACAGGAUCUACAGAAUCGAACCAAGCCUGGAUCCGAGAGGCCUGGAAGAGGGACACUCUAUAGGAAAGAGGAUGCCACUUCAGUUCCAAUUGAACACGAAGUCGUGGUGCCAUCAAGAACGGCAUAUGGAACUGGACCAUCCAAAACACCCUCAUUUGGAGAACCCACUUCUGAUCCCCUGGUAGAUGUUGAAACUGAAAAGCAUCCAGUCCAUUUAACUGAGGUAAAAAUUAUUGACAAAUCUGUCAUCGACGAACAGCCACCUCUGCAAAGUAAGAUCAAGGAUUUUCCUAGCGAGACAUCUAAAGUCUCCAUCGUGGAGGAUGAAGAGGAUGGUGAUGACUGGCUGGAAGAGGAUACUGGUGAAAUGGGUAGCACAGGAGGUGCUGCUAUCCCAUUAGGACAUGAGGAAGAUGUAUCAUUCAGCGAUCUCGAGGAUGAUGAUGAUGAUGAUCGAGGCACACUUUCAAGCUCCAAAAGCCUUGAUGCAAAUGAUUCUCAAACUAAAGACUCUAGAGGCUGGGUUCAGCUUAAUAAAGGUUCUGGGGGCUCAUCAAAGAGCGGUGACUCCACAAGCCCAGAAUCCAAGGAAUCCAAUGAUUGGUUAAAUGUUGAACAUUUUGAUGUGGAAUGAUGGGCUUUAAAGUAUAUGUUCUGAGUGCUCUCCAAACAUGGAUCGAAUGCAUGCUACAUGGCACGAGGAGAUUGGCCGAUAGUGAUGACGUGCCAGCUUAAAUGCGAGGAGGACAUGGCAGGCCAUUAAAAAGCUGCCACAACUACACACUGUCGUAGCUUUCUUGAAAGCCAUGGCUUCCGGAGGCCUGAAGCUAUUCAGAUACGUCUGGUGUUCCUCCUGCUUUAGGUCGUACUUUACCCGCAGGCCACGGCAGUAAGGCCAUUUAAUAGGUCUUGGUCCGGGGAUUGAAGGGCUUCCACUGGCCAAGCGUUUAUGAGCUCUGAAAUAGAUUUUGCAAAUUUAAUGACAUAAUUAUGGAUUUUGCAAUAAUUUAUUUU